Molecule: microRNA precursor, 198 nt
Filed under: Oryza rufipogon (brownbeard rice)
Lineage: Eukaryota; Viridiplantae; Streptophyta; Magnoliopsida; Poales; Poaceae
Description: MIR812 microRNA precursor family
Rfam family: MIR812 microRNA precursor family
Source: Rfam by way of RNAcentral
AAAAAGACAAACCCUGGGUUUCCGUGUCUAACGUUUGACUGUCCGUAUUAUAAGAAUUUUUUUUAUAAUUUCUAUUUUUAUUGUUGUUAGAUGAUAAACAUGAUUAAUACUUUAUACGUGACUUGUCUUUUUAAUUUUUUUUCAUAAUUUUUUUAAAUAAGACGAACGGUCAAACGUUGGACACGGAAACCCAGGGUU